This 253-nucleotide ribosomal RNA is filed under the name uncultured bacterium. RNAcentral describes it as "partial 16S ribosomal RNA". It matches the Rfam family "Bacterial small subunit ribosomal RNA", at positions 524 to 776 of the family's 1533-position model. The record is from RNAcentral.
UACGUAGGGGGCUAGCGUUGUCCGGAAUCAUUGGGCGUAAAGAGCGCGUAGGCGGCCAGAUAAGUCCGGUGUGAAAGUCAAAGGCUCAACCUUUGAAUGCCGCUGGAAACUGUCUGGCUAGAGUCCGGGAGGGGCGAGUGGAACUCCUGGUGUAGCGGUGAAAUGCGCAGAUAUCAGGAGGAACACCAAUGGCGAAGGCAGCUCGCUGGAACGGUACUGACGCUGAGGCGCGAAAGCGUGGGGAGCAAACAGG